RNAcentral lists this ribosomal RNA (1662 nucleotides) under Haplostoma kimi. RNAcentral describes it as "SSU rRNA". It matches the Rfam family "Eukaryotic small subunit ribosomal RNA". The record is from RNAcentral. Lineage: Eukaryota; Metazoa; Arthropoda; Copepoda; Cyclopoida; Botryllophilidae.
GUCUAAGUACAAGCCUUAGUAAGGUGAAACCGCGAAUGGCUCAUUAAAUCACACCUGAUGCACCGGACGAUUCAAGUUACUUGGAUAACUGUGGUAAUUCUAGAGCUAAUACACGCAUCAACGCCCGACUCACGUAGGGCUGCUGUUAUUAGAUUCAAGACCAAUCGGUUCGUCUUCGGGCGAACUGAACGCUGGUGACUCUGAAUAAACGUUGCUGACCGCAUGGCCCCGCGCCGGCGGCGCGUCCGUACAAGGUGUGCCCUAUCAACUGUCGACUGUGGCAUAGACGCUCACAAUGGUUUUGACGGGUAACGGGGAAUUAGGGUUCGAUUCCGGAGAGGGAGCCUGAGAGACGGCUACCACUUCCAAGGAAGGCAGCAGGCACGCAAAUUACCCACUGAUCGAAGAUCGAGGUAGUGACGAAAAAUAACGAUACGGGACUCUUCUGAGGCCCCGUAAUCGGAAUGAGAACACUUUAAAUCCUUUAACGAGGAGCAAUUGGAGGGCAAGUCUGGUGCCAGCAGCCGCGGUAAUUCCAGCUCCAAUAGCGUAUAUUAAAGUUGUUGCGGUUAAAAAGCUCGUAGUUGGAUCUUGACGUUGUUUAUGCGGUUUGCCUUUGGUUUAACACUGCAUAGAACGCGUUGCGGUGACGGUCUCGCGGCCGGUGCUCUUCAUUGAGUGUCGGUAGCGGCCGUCGUGUUUACUUUGAAAAAAUUAGAGUGCUCAAAGCAAGCUUUACGCUUGAAUAUUAGUGCAUGGAAUAAUAAAAUAGGACGUUGGUUCUAUUUUGUUGGUCUCUAGAGCCGACGUAAUGAUUAACAGGGACAGUUGGGGGCAUUUGUAUUCUGACGACGGAGGUGAAAUUCUUGGACCGUUAGAGGACUAACUACUGCGAAAGCAUUUGCCAAGAAUGUUUUCAUUAAUCAAGAACGAAAGUUAGAGGUUCGAAGGCGAUCAGAUACCGCCCUAGUUCUAACCAUAAACGAUGCCAGCUAGCGAUCUGCGGGCGUUUUUUCGAUGACUCCGCAGGCAGCUUCCGGGAAACCAAAGCUUGUGGGUUCCGGGGGAAGUAUGGUUGCAAAGCUGAAACUUAAAGGAAUUGACGGAAGGGCACCACCAGGAGUGGAGCCUGCGGCUUAAUUUGACUCAACACGGGAAAUCUCACCAGGCCCGGACACUGGAAGGAUUGACAGAUUGAAAGCUCUUUCUUGAUUCGGUGGGUGGUGGUGCAUGGCCGUUCUUAGUUGGUGGAGUGAUUUGUCUGGUUAAUUCCGAUAACGAACGAGACUCUCUCCUGCUAAAUAGUCGUCGCCUCCUUUGUUGCGCGGCGAAUUCUUCUUAGAGGGACUGGCGGCUUCCAGCCAUACAAGAUUGAGCAAUAACAGGUCUGUGAUGCCCUUAGAUGUUCUGGGCUGCACACGCGCUACACUGAAGGGAUCAGCGUGUUUUCCCUGCCCGAGAGGGACGGGUAACCCGCUGAACCCCCUUCGUGGUAGGGAUCGGAGCUUGCAAUUGUUCUCCGUGAACCAGGAAUUCCCAGUAAGCGUAAGUCAUAAGCUUGCGUUGAUUACGUCCCUGCCCUUUGUACACACCGCCCGUCGCUACUACCGAUUGAACGUUUUAGUGAGGAGUUCGGACGGGGCCUCUGCAGUUUAGCGCCUG